UUGGCCUCGGAUCAGGCGGGGAUACCCGCUGAACUUAAGCAUAUCAAUAAGCGGAGGAAAAGAAACCAACCGGGAUUGCCCCAGUAACGGCGAGUGAAGCGGCAACAGCUCAAAUUUGAAAUCUGGAGUCUUUGUUGGCUUCCGAGUUGUAAUUUGCAGAGGGAGCCUCGGAGGGCUGGUCGGUCCAAGUGCCUUGGAACAGGAUACCGCAGAGGGUGAGAGUCCCGUAUCCGGCCGACGCAGUGCUCCGUGUGAGGCCUCUUCGACGAGUCGAGUUGUUUGGGAAUGCAGCUCUAAGUGGGUGGUAAAUUCCAUCUAAAGCUAAAUACUGGCCAGAGACCGAUAGCGAACAAGUAGAGUGAUCGAAAGAUGAAAAGCACUUUGAAAAGAGAGUUAAACAGUACGUGAAAUUGUUGAAAGGGAAGCGCAUGGGGGCAGACUUGGACGCGGGGUUCAGGGUCUCUUUUUUGGAGGCGUGUACUUCCCCGCGGACAGGCCAGCAUCGGUUCUGGGGGCCGGACAAAGGCGACGGGAACGUGGCUCUCUUCGGGGAGUGUUAUAGCCCGACGUGCAAUGCGGCC
This 581-nucleotide ribosomal RNA is filed under the name Scolecobasidium constrictum. RNAcentral describes it as "eukaryotic LSU rRNA". It matches the Rfam family "Eukaryotic large subunit ribosomal RNA", at positions 1 to 580 of the family's 3401-position model. Lineage: Eukaryota; Fungi; Ascomycota; Dothideomycetes; Venturiales; Sympoventuriaceae. The record is from RNAcentral.